Podarcis muralis (Common wall lizard) is the source of this 521-nucleotide non-coding RNA. Lineage: Eukaryota; Metazoa; Chordata; Lepidosauria; Squamata; Lacertidae. The record is from RefSeq and is a predicted model, not a curated record.
UGUAUGCCUUCAUAGCGGCCCGACCUGAAAACCGUCAUUGGCAUUUUCUGUGCCACAGUGAUCAUUGUCCUUUGGGCACUAUGCAUUUGGCAGCUCCCUAUCAGGUUUGCAUCAGAUACCACACCUCCAGCAGAACCUCCAUGCUUUUGCCAAAACAACGGAAUCUGUCCAGAUCGCUUAUGCCUUUGUCCAGAGGAAUGGAUAGGCUACCACUUUGAGAUAGGUGGUGUUCCUAACGCAACUCGCAUGCACACUAGAAAAAAUUGGAAUACCUACUCUUGAACCUCCUAACUUGAAUUGCAAUGUGACCCUACUUGGCUUCUCUGAAAAGGCCAAUAUGAAAAUCUCAUAUUGAUUGGAAGUACUACUUUACUACUUGGGUACUACUUUAAAAAGGACAGCCAUCGUCUGUUUGAAGGGAUAUCCAGUCCAAGUCUGGGGUAAGAAAAAGACGCAAAAGUGCUCUCUGUUAAUGGACUGUUCAAAGUUUGAAACAGGCUUUAGUAUAUAUUGGAUGAAAU